This 1557-nucleotide ribosomal RNA is filed under the name Staphylococcus aureus. Its description in RNAcentral is "16S ribosomal RNA". It matches the Rfam family "Bacterial small subunit ribosomal RNA". The record is from RNAcentral. Lineage: Bacteria; Bacillati; Bacillota; Bacilli; Caryophanales; Staphylococcaceae.
UUUUAUGGAGAGUUUGAUCCUGGCUCAGGAUGAACGCUGGCGGCGUGCCUAAUACAUGCAAGUCGAGCGAACGGACGAGAAGCUUGCUUCUCUGAUGUUAGCGGCGGACGGGUGAGUAACACGUGGAUAACCUACCUAUAAGACUGGGAUAACUUCGGGAAACCGGAGCUAAUACCGGAUAAUAUUUUGAACCGCAUGGUUCAAAAGUGAAAGACGGUCUUGCUGUCACUUAUAGAUGGAUCCGCGCUGCAUUAGCUAGUUGGUAAGGUAACGGCUUACCAAGGCAACGAUGCAUAGCCGACCUGAGAGGGUGAUCGGCCACACUGGAACUGAGACACGGUCCAGACUCCUACGGGAGGCAGCAGUAGGGAAUCUUCCGCAAUGGGCGAAAGCCUGACGGAGCAACGCCGCGUGAGUGAUGAAGGUCUUCGGAUCGUAAAACUCUGUUAUUAGGGAAGAACAUAUGUGUAAGUAACUGUGCACAUCUUGACGGUACCUAAUCAGAAAGCCACGGCUAACUACGUGCCAGCAGCCGCGGUAAUACGUAGGUGGCAAGCGUUAUCCGGAAUUAUUGGGCGUAAAGCGCGCGUAGGCGGUUUUUUAAGUCUGAUGUGAAAGCCCACGGCUCAACCGUGGAGGGUCAUUGGAAACUGGAAAACUUGAGUGCAGAAGAGGAAAGUGGAAUUCCAUGUGUAGCGGUGAAAUGCGCAGAGAUAUGGAGGAACACCAGUGGCGAAGGCGACUUUCUGGUCUGUAACUGACGCUGAUGUGCGAAAGCGUGGGGAUCAAACAGGAUUAGAUACCCUGGUAGUCCACGCCGUAAACGAUGAGUGCUAAGUGUUAGGGGGUUUCCGCCCCUUAGUGCUGCAGCUAACGCAUUAAGCACUCCGCCUGGGGAGUACGACCGCAAGGUUGAAACUCAAAGGAAUUGACGGGGACCCGCACAAGCGGUGGAGCAUGUGGUUUAAUUCGAAGCAACGCGAAGAACCUUACCAAAUCUUGACAUCCUUUGACAACUCUAGAGAUAGAGCCUUCCCCUUCGGGGGACAAAGUGACAGGUGGUGCAUGGUUGUCGUCAGCUCGUGUCGUGAGAUGUUGGGUUAAGUCCCGCAACGAGCGCAACCCUUAAGCUUAGUUGCCAUCAUUAAGUUGGGCACUCUAAGUUGACUGCCGGUGACAAACCGGAGGAAGGUGGGGAUGACGUCAAAUCAUCAUGCCCCUUAUGAUUUGGGCUACACACGUGCUACAAUGGACAAUACAAAGGGCAGCGAAACCGCGAGGUCAAGCAAAUCCCAUAAAGUUGUUCUCAGUUCAGAUUGUAGUCUGCAACUCGACUACAUGAAGCUGGAAUCGCUAGUAAUCGUAGAUCAGCAUGCUACGGUGAAUACGUUCCCGGGUCUUGUACACACCGCCCGUCACACCACGAGAGUUUGUAACACCCGAAGCCGGUGGAGUAACCUUUUAGGAGCUAGCCGUCGAAGGUGGGACAAAUGAUUGGGGUGAAGUCGUAACAAGGUAGCCGUAUCGGAAGGUGCGGCUGGAUCACCUCCUUUCUAA